UUUUACAGUGACUUGCCCAUCAGUUUUUUGAGAUUUUCCAAAAGAUAAUUAAUAUUUUUAUACGACUUCACCUACAUUACUGUUUAUGUUUUAGCUCUUAGCAAUUGGACUAGAUCCCAAUCCUGCAACUGAUACUGAAUUGGAAGAAAUAAAUGUAUGAAAUUAACUGCAGAAUACAAGUUCAGGUUAUUACCUUAGGAUGCACAUGAUAAAAAUUUGCUUUUGGCACAGUAAGCCCCAUGUGUACUGCUUUUGCUUUUUGUUUCUUUUUGUUAUUUAUGACAAAUUUUAGUUAUUUUUCCAUCUUUUAAAAUGAAACGAGACAACUUCUCAGGAACUUGAAUCCUGCAUCUGUGGGUUUUAGAAGCAUUUUAAAAGGUUUUUUUUAUUUUUAAGGUCCUUGCUGAAUCAUACUUCAAACUCUCAGCAUCUGGUAGCAUCAAAGUCUAGCUCAUUCCUAGCAAAAUUUCAUCUCCAACAAGAGCUGCUUGUAACUGAUCAGCAUUUUUCUAGUAUAUACACCAGAUAUUUCCUCAGCACACUGCCUGGAGAAGAAAAUGGGAAUUUAAAAAUGGAACCUUCCAUUUUAGAGAAUUGAUAUAGACCACACAGUCAACUUAGGGUUUGAAAGCUGCAGAUAAAUGAUUCAGUCUGGGGGUCAACAGGUACCCAAAGAUACUGCAGGAUGGUCAACCUUCCCACACCUGAGAAUAAAUUCUGGCUCCACAAAAGCAAGGAAUGAAGACUGUAUCCCCAAAGGACUACCUGACAUUUGCAUACCCUAAAAGCAGGUGUGCAAAAAAUUUUGCACUUUGCAACCUAACAUGCACUAUUUUGGAAGUGACAGCAGUGAUAUGACUAUAAUUUCUACCAGGAGGCUCACAGUUCAUACCCCUUGGAAGCUCACUAGAGUUAGAGGGCUCACAUCCUGGAAAAUGUAA
Non-coding RNA from Cyanistes caeruleus (blue tit), 941 nucleotides. The record is from RefSeq and is a predicted model, not a curated record. NCBI's taxonomy places the organism in Eukaryota, Metazoa, Chordata, Aves, Passeriformes, Paridae.